RNAcentral lists this ribosomal RNA (255 nucleotides) under uncultured bacterium. Its description in RNAcentral is "partial 16S ribosomal RNA". It matches the Rfam family "Bacterial small subunit ribosomal RNA", at positions 77 to 334 of the family's 1533-position model. The record is from RNAcentral.
CAAACUGAAGAUGGCGACCGGCGCACGGGUGAGUAACACGUAUCCAACCUGCCGAUAACUCCGGAAUAGCCUUUCGAAAGAAAGAUUAAUACCGGAUAGUAUACGAAUAUCGCAUGAUAUUUUUAUUAAAGAAUUUCGGUUAUCGAUGGGGAUGCGUUCCAUUAGUUUGUUGGCGGGGUAACGGCCCACCAAGACUACGAUGGAUAGGGGUUCUGAGAGGAAGGUCCCCCACAUUGGAACUGGGACACGGUCCAA